CAUCUAGACUCUGAUUGGCCCCUGGGGAAGGAGCAGCCUGCUCAUUGGUCUCCACCUUCGAAUCUCGUCCCUAAGUAGGCCUGAGUCACUGAAGAGCUUUGGAGGGCGGGACUGCAUGGGGGUUAAUCAGAGGAUGCGAUUGCUGACCGUUUGCACUUUGGCAGGACCCAUCCCCUAAUUUCUGACCAGAAGCCCUCCCUCUACCCUAAGGUGAGGACUGUGCUAUGAAUCUUUUGUUAGAAAGCUACCUCUUGGGAGGCUCUGGGGGCUCUUCUGGGACUGGGAAGAGACAUCCAAGAAAAAAAGCCUCCUGUGGUUAGGAAGAGCCCCCAGGAGGAGUGGGCUGGGUCUCUCCAGUGAAAGCUGGGCUGGGCGAGGUGAGCACCCUCCCUCCUCCAAAAGCCCUGGAGAGCUCUCCAACGGUAGUCUCUGCUGCCCUGGGGGCUGAUGCUCUGCCCACUCCUGCUCCUUAGUCCGCUCCACCUUUCCUUAAAGAGCUAUAGCGUCCCGCAGAGGCUGGCGAGUCAGUUUGGGGAAUGUCUAAAAGAAGCACUCACGGCUCCAACAAGGAGGGGCUGUCGCCCUUUAAGGACUUCCCUGGGCUGGAUUCCGAGCUCAGUUUAAAAAUGCCAACUCACAGAGCGCGCUGGGUUCUGGGAACGACGGUGUCGGGCUGAGAACUACACGGACCAGCAUGCAUUGCAAACGCAGACGCCGUGACUUUCGCCUGCUCUUUAGGACUCUCGUUUGACGUAGCGCUUUUCUAAGCGGGUCGCUGACGCGAAGGGCUGGGCCACACCUGUCCGUCUAUUGGCCGGCUCGUCAGCGGGUGGGCGUGGCUUCGUGCAAUUCCGCCCGGCAAAAGGGUGGCCUCCUUGCCAAUCAGAGCCAGGGCGCCCGGAGAGGCGGGACCAGGGCGAGGCCCCGUCGGCCCCCGGGUGGGCGUGGCCACGUUGCCCAGCAGUGGGCGGUGAUUGGCCCCGGGCGGUGCCUUCGCAGCUCGUGCGUCACGACGCCGCCAGCUGAUCGGAGCCUGGAGCCGGUGUGUGCUGGGUACCGAGAAGAGACAGCGCCGCCGGCCGUGGGGAGCGGACGCAGCGAUUUGCUCCCCUUCGCGCAGCAACCCCCACACCCAGCACCAGGCCCCCAGAACUCUCCUUCCAGCUGAACUCUCUGAGAACAAGUCAGUUGGGCUGAUCACUGAACUCACAUUUCUGGACCUGAGACUCCAGUUCUGGAAAGAAGAGCAAGGGAAGUCUGUUUACAGUCGCCUCUUGCCGCUCAGUGAAGUUAACAGCUUCUGCAAGCCCAGGAGCCUGUUCCUCUCACACCCUCACCUGGCUGAGCCGCAGUAGUUCUUCAGUGGCAAGCUUUAUGUCCUGACCCAGCUAAAGCUGCCAGUUGAAGAACUGUUGCCCUCUGCCCCUGGCUUCGAGGAGGAGGAGGAGCUGCUUUCCCCAUCAUCUGGAAGGUGACAGAAAUGGGCUGGGAAGGUCCGAACAGCAGGGUUGAUGAUACGUUUUGGGAAAGUUGUAGAGCCUUUGCCCAGAUUGGCCCAGCAAGGAGCGGUUUUAGAUUAGAGACACUGGCUGAAUUGAGGAGUAGAAGGCUCAAACAACCCAAGGUUAGUUGGUCUUUGUGUGACAAUGGGAAGAAGUGGGGAGAACACUCUGUCUCCCCAACUUCCUUCUAGACCCUCCUUCCUUAUCUUUCAUUCUUCCCCACCGGCCUUUCCAGAUGAGGUCCAAAAGUAAGCUCACUCUUCAGGGAAAAGUGAUUCUAAACCCGGGUGUGAGGAGUCAUCCUUCUGCUCUUACUUUUCCCUGCAUUUCCUUAGGCUGGCCCAGACUCUAGAUUCCUGGGCACUUACCUAUUAUCUGAGACCCUUAGACUUCCUGUCUCAGUUUCUCCACCUGUGAGAUGGGCAGUCACACAGAUGAGUGUGCUGAGGGAAUCAGAAGCCCAUCUGUGUCGACUCAGAACCUGGGCUCUCCCCCUGCUGUGGGUGGAAACAAAACACCUUUUCACAUAAGCUGUUGUCCCUCCCCCAUCCCUGAUACCAUCACCCAGGAGCUGGGCGGGGGAAAGGGAAGCUGGAGGAGGGGGUUAGAGUUAGACCAAUGCAAGGAGCUAAUAAGAGCUCGCCUCUCUGUGACUUCCCCCUAUGCAAGGGUGGCCCAAGGCUUCCCUUGAUAUCCAAAGCAGGACAGCAGCCCCUUGGUGGGAUUCUAACUGCUGCUGCUCUGUUUUUUUCCUCACUUUGCUUUCCAAGGUGGUAUGUGAUCCCCAGCUCAGGCCUGUGCAGACAGGAAAUUCUCCGCUGCAGCAAGUAGGGGAGGUGGGUUGUGGGAUGUGACCUCCUUCUGGAUAUCAGGCAGUGAGUGUAAACCUGCCACCUCCAGCCCUGAUCCAUUCUCACCUAGCGGCUACAGGAAGCUGUGUCUGUUCGAUUUGGUGGGAGGAGAUGUGCAGGGAGCUGUAUCUUAUCCUCCGCUUGUGAAAAACUCAAGGAUGUGGAGAAGAGUAGACCGUGGAACCCUGCCCUUCUGCAACCAAGCUGAGGGGCAGGAUGCGUAUGGGACAGUGGUAGAGAAGCAGGGGAUAGACGCAUAGGCUGCAACAAAGGUCACUCUGUCCCUGGACACUGCCUCCGUACUUUCUCCUUCUUGCUUCACUGGCCACAGCAUCUCCCUCCAGCCCUCACUAUGUGCCUCUGCCAUCUUCACCCAUCAUGGAGCAGAGGUGAGGAAAGGCAGCCUGGGAAUGUGGAGACCAGUGAAGGACCAGGCCUGGAAAGCACAGGGUCCUACCUGGGCAUCCAGCAGAGGAGCCCCUAAAGGCCAGGAGCAACCCAAGAGGAGGGAGGACAGCCAGCCUCCAUCGACGGCGAGCCUCCAGCCCUCUCCUACUUUGAUCACCAUUUCUCUCCAGGCUUUCUGCCUCCGAGAUGUGGCACCAUAGUGCAGUGCCCUGUGGCUUCACCGCCCUACUUCCACCUCCGCCCAGCCUGUAAUGUUUAUAAAAGCAGCCUCAAGGACCAAGAACCAUCUGCGAAAGGACACACACAGGAAAUUCAUAAAAGAAAUCUGAAUGGAUAAAACCAUGAAAAAAAUGUAUGCUUCAUUAGUAAUUAAAGAAAGGCAAAUAGAGCUGAAAGCAUUUUUCCCUUAGCAAGCCAUGACAGAAAAAAAUAAGACCCAAUAUUGGCAAAGAGACUACUGAAAAAACAUUCCCAUACAUUGCGUGUGGGAGUAUACAUCGGUGCAGGCUUCCUGGAUGACAGUUGGGUGAUAUGUGUCAUGUGGCCUAGAAGCCUCCAUGUCAUUUGACAUACGAAUUCUAUCUUUGAGAAUUUAUCCUAGGAAAAUACUUAAGGAUUUAGUUAGUGAUAAGAUGUUCAUCCCAGCAUUGCAAUGGAGAAAAAUGGGAAGCAAUGGUUUGGUUGGGAAUUUAUUCCUUUUCUGCUGUAACGAAAGUUUGCAAUAGGGGAUUGCUUAAGUAAAUUAUUGUAUCUCCAUCCAGAUGGUGGAGUACCGCGCAGACGUUAAAAGUCAUGUAAAAGAACAUCUGACUGAAAGAAAAAUGCUCCUUGAAUAUUAAAAGGUUGUAAAAAUAGUGCAUAUUAUGUGAUUUCAAUUUUGUUUUUUAAAAUAUGGGUGUAUCCUUGUAUACGUAGAGCAGAUAAAAAAGAUGGAAGGCAUGCUAAAAAAAAAUGUUUAGUGGUUAUCUUUGUAUGGUGGAACAAAGUCACUAAUUUUCAUCUGGUUUUUCUGUAAUUUCCAAAUUUUCUACAUUGUGUAUUUCAUAUAAUAAAUAUAAUUUAAGAGA
Molecule: long non-coding RNA, 3828 nt
Organism: Pongo pygmaeus (Bornean orangutan)
Lineage: Eukaryota; Metazoa; Chordata; Mammalia; Primates; Hominidae
Exons: 4
Source: RefSeq, a predicted model, not a curated record